GAUGAACGCUGGCGGCGUGCCUAAUACAUGCAAGUCGAGCGAACAGAUGAGGAGCUUGCUCCUCUGCCGUUAGCGGCGGACGGGUGAGUAACACGUGGAUCACCUACCUAUAAUACUGGGAUAACUUCGGGAAACCGGAGCUAAUACCGGAUAAUAUAUUGAACCGCAUGGUUCAAUAGUGAAAGACGGUUUUGCUGUCACUUAUAGAUGGAUCCGCGCCGCAUUAGCUAGUUGGUAAGGUAACGGCUUACCAAGGCAACGAUGCGUAGCCGACCUGAGAGGGUGAUCGGCCACACUGGAACUGAGACACGGUCCAGACUCCUACGGGAGGCAGCAGUAGGGAAUAUUCCGCAAUGGGCGAAAGCCUGACGGAGCAACGCCGCGUGAGUGAUGAAGGUCUUCGGAUCGUAAAACUCUGUUAUUAGGGAAGAACAAAUGUGUAAGUAAAUAUGCACGUCUUGACGGUACCUAAUCAGAAAGCCACGGCUAACUACGUG
RNAcentral lists this ribosomal RNA (497 nucleotides) under uncultured bacterium. RNAcentral describes it as "partial 16S ribosomal RNA". It matches the Rfam family "Bacterial small subunit ribosomal RNA", at positions 28 to 507 of the family's 1533-position model. The record is from RNAcentral.